This 240-nucleotide unclassified non-coding RNA is filed under the name soil metagenome. Its description in RNAcentral is "partial contains 5.8S ribosomal RNA, internal transcribed spacer 2, and large subunit ribosomal RNA". The record is from RNAcentral.
AACAAGGCGUACCUGCGGACCUGCGGAAGGAUCAUUAUUGAAACAUUGUAAAGGAAGGUUGAGCUGGCUCUUCACGGGCAUGUGCUCGCCUUUCUUUCAAUCUUCAUCCACCUGUGCACUUUUUGUAGGGAGCUUUGAGAAUAGACCUCGGGGUCUUAGUAUUAGGCUCUCUAUGUCUUCACACACUCUUGAAUGUAUGUCGUUGAAUGUCUUUUACAGGGACUUAAUUGACCCUUUAAA